CGAAGGUGUGCUGUGAGGCAUGCUGGAGGUAUCAGAAGUGCGAAUGCUGACAUAAGUAACGAUAAAGCGGGUGAAAAGCCCGCUCGCCGGAAGACCAAGGGUUCCUGUCCAACGUUAAUCGGGGCAGGGUGAGUCGACCCCUAAGGCGAGGCCGAAAGGCGUAGUCGAUGGGAAACAGGUUAAUAUUCCUGUACUUGGUGUUACUGCGAAGGGGGGACGGAGAAGGCUAUGUUGGCCGGGCGACGGUUGUCCCGGUUUAAGCGUGUAGGCUGGUUUUCCAGGCAAAUCCGGAAAAUCAAGGCUGAGGCGUGAUGACGAGGCACUACGGUGCUGAAGCAACAAAUGCCCUGCUUCCAGGAAAAGCCUCUAAGCAUCAGGUAACAUCAAAUCGUACCCCAAACCGACACAGGUGGUCAGGUAGAGAAUACCAAGGCGCUUGAGAGAACUCGGGUGAAGGAACUAGGCAAAAUGGUGCCGUAACUUCGGGAGAAGGCACGCUGAUAUGUAGGUGAAGUCCCUUGCGGAUGGAGCUGAAAUCAGUCGAAGAUACCAGCUGGCUGCAACUGUUUAUUAAAAACACAGCACUGUGCAAACACGAAAGUGGACGUAUACGGUGUGACGCCUGCCCGGUGCCGGAAGGUUAAUUGAUGGGGUCAGCGCAAGCGAAGCUCUUGAUCGAAGCCCCGGUAAACGGCGGCCGUAACUAUAACGGUCCUAAGGUAGCGAAAUUCCUUGUCGGGUAAGUUCCGACCUGCACGAAUGGCGUAAUGAUGGCCAGGCUGUCUCCACCCGAGACUCAGUGAAAUUGAACUCGCUGUGAAGAUGCAGUGUACCCGCGGCAAGACGGAAAGACCCCGUGAACCUUUACUAUAGCUUGACACUGAACAUUGAGCCUUGAUGUGUAGGAUAGGUGGGAGGCUUUGAAGUGUGGACGCCAGUCUGCAUGGAGCCGGCCUUGAAAUACCACCCUUUAAUGUUUGAUGUUCUAACGUGGACCCGUGAUCCGGGUUGCGGACAGUGUCUGGUGGGUAGUUUGACUGGGGCGGUCUCCUCCUAAAGAGUAACGGAGGAGCACGAAGGUUGGCUAAUCCUGGUCGGACAUCAGGAGGUUAGUGCAAUGGCAUAAGCCAGCUUGACUGCGAGCGUGACGGCGCGAGCAGGUGCGAAAGCAGGUCAUAGUGAUCCGGUGGUUCUGAAUGGAAGGGCCAUCGCUCAACGGAUAAAAGGUACUCCGGGGAUAACAGGCUGAUACCGCCCAAGAGUUCAUAUCGACGGCGGUGUUUGGCACCUCGAUGUCGGCUCAUCACAUCCUGGGGCUGAAGUAGGUCCCAAGGGUAUGGCUGUUCGCCAUUUAAAGUGGUACGCGAGCUGGGUUUAGAACGUCGUGAGACAGUUCGGUCCCUAUCUGCCGUGGGCGCUGGAGAACUGAGGGGGGCUGCUCCUAGUACGAGAGGACCGGAGUGGACGCAUCACUGGUGUUCGGGUUGUCAUGCCAAUGGCACUGCCCGGUAGCUAAAUGCGGAAGAGAUAAGUGCUGAAAGCAUCUAAGCACGAAACUUGCCCCGAGAUGAGUUCUCCCUGACCCUUUAAGGGUCCUGAAGGAACGUUGAAGACGACGACGUUGAUAGGCCGGGUGUGUAAGCGCAGCGAUGCGUUGAGCUAACCGGUACUAAUGAACCGUGAGGCUUAACCUU
Molecule: ribosomal RNA, 1694 nt
Filed under: Shigella sonnei
Lineage: Bacteria; Pseudomonadati; Pseudomonadota; Gammaproteobacteria; Enterobacterales; Enterobacteriaceae
Description: partial 23S ribosomal RNA
Rfam family: Bacterial large subunit ribosomal RNA
Source: RNAcentral